UAAUAAGGACUCAAGAAGGGGUAGGUGAUUUUAUAGUGGUAGUCAGGGAUCCCUUAUGUCCUCAGUGGAUAUAUGUUGCAACGGUUUCACAGGAAGGUUAGUAAAAGACAAAUAAAAUUUAAGUAUAAUUUAGAGCAUCAUUUUUCAUCUGCAUGAUGGAAAUUCAUGUUUUUGGUGCAUCAAUUAUACUUUCUGAUGUUUAUCUUGAUGUCACCUUAUCCAGCUUCUCUAUUUACCC
RNAcentral lists this long non-coding RNA (238 nucleotides) under Carica papaya (papaya). Its description in RNAcentral is "long non-coding RNA (CPAP_LNC013137)". Lineage: Eukaryota; Viridiplantae; Streptophyta; Magnoliopsida; Brassicales; Caricaceae. The record is from RNAcentral.